RNAcentral lists this ribosomal RNA (497 nucleotides) under uncultured bacterium. Its description in RNAcentral is "partial 16S ribosomal RNA". It matches the Rfam family "Bacterial small subunit ribosomal RNA", at positions 28 to 507 of the family's 1533-position model. The record is from RNAcentral.
GAUGAACGCUGGCGGCGUGCCUAAUACAUGCAAGUCGAGCGAACGGACGAGAAGCUUGCUUCUCUGAUGUUAGCGGCGGGCGGGUGAGUAACACGUGGAUAACCUACCUAUAAGACUGGGAUAACUUCGGGAAACCGUAGCUAAUACCGGAUAAUAUUUUGAACCGCAUGGUUCAAAAGUGAAAGACGGUCUUGCUGUCACUUAUAGAUGGAUCCGCGCUGCAUUAGCUAGUUGGUAAGGUAACGGCUUACCAAGGCAACGAUGCAUAGCCGACCUGAGAGGGUGAUCGGCCACACUGGAACUGAGACACGGUCCAGACUCCUACGGGAGGCAGCAGUAGGGAAUCUUCCGCAAUGGGCGAAAGCCUGACGGAGCAACGCCGCGUGAGUGAUGAAGGUCUUCGGAUCGUAAAACUCUGUUAUUAGGGAAGAACAUAUGUGUAAGUAACUGUGCACAUCUUGACGGUACCUAAUCAGAAGGCCACGGCUAACUACGUG